ACGCUGGCGGCGUGCCUAAUACAUGCAAGUCGAGCGAAUCGAUGGGAGCUUGCUCCCUGAGAUUAGCGGCGGACGGGUGAGUAACACGUGGGCAACCUGCCUAUAAGACUGGGAUAACUUCGGGAAACCGGAGCUAAUACCGGAUACUUUCUUUUCUCGCAUGAGAGAAGAUGGAAAGACGGUUUACGCUGUCACUUAUAGAUGGGCCCGCGGCGCAUUAGCUAGUUGGUGAGGUAAUGGCUCACCAAGGCGACGAUGCGUAGCCGACCUGAGAGGGUGAUCGGCCACACUGGGACUGAGACACGGCCCAGACUCCUACGGGAGGCAGCAGUAGGGAAUCUUCCGCAAUGGACGAAAGUCUGACGGAGCAACGCCGCGUGAACGAAGAAGGCCUUCGGGUCGUAAAGUUCUGUUGUUAGGGAAGAACAAGUACCAGAGUAACUGCUGGUACCUUGACGGUACCUAACCAGAAAGCCACGGCUAACUACGUGCCAGCAGCCGCGGUAAUACGUAGGUGGCAAGCGUUGUCCGGAAUUAUUGGGCGUAAAGCGCGCGCAGGUGGUUCUUUAAGUCUGAUGUGAAAGCCCACGGCUCAACCGUGGAGGGUCAUUGGAAACUGGGGAACUUGAGUGCAGAAGAGGAAAGUGGAAUUCCAAGUGUAGCGGUGAAAUGCGUAGAGAUUUGGAGGAACACCAGUGGC
Molecule: ribosomal RNA, 700 nt
Filed under: Bacillus sp. (in: firmicutes)
Lineage: Bacteria; Bacillati; Bacillota; Bacilli; Caryophanales; Bacillaceae
Description: bacterial SSU rRNA
Rfam family: Bacterial small subunit ribosomal RNA
Source: RNAcentral